GAAAUGCGAUAAGUAAUGUGAAUUGCAGAAUUCCGUGAAUCAUCGAAUCUUUGAACGCACAUUGCGCCCUCUGGUAUUCCGGGGGCAUGCCUGUCCGAGCGUCAUUGCGAACCCCUCAAGCACGGCUUGUGUGAUGGGCCCUCCCGCGUCUUGGUCGUCAAGACGGGCCCGAAAUGCAGUGGCGGCUUCGCGGUUAUCCGAUCAGCCAGAGCGUAUGGGGACUCUCUCUCUUGUCACACGCCCGCGGCGCGGACCGACGCCUGUCGACCUUUAUUCAUCUUCUCUCGGUUGACCUCGGAUCAGGUAGGUAUACCCGCUGAACUUAAGC
RNAcentral lists this unclassified non-coding RNA (328 nucleotides) under plant metagenome. Its description in RNAcentral is "partial contains 5.8S ribosomal RNA, internal transcribed spacer 2, and large subunit ribosomal RNA". The stretch from base 1 to 104 matches the Rfam family "5.8S ribosomal RNA", at positions 50 to 154 of the family's 154-position model. The record is from RNAcentral.